AGGUCCCUGCCAUCAAGAAUCUUCAUUCUGGGGUUCUCCCUGUGGCUCUGCAGGUUAGAAACCCGACUGGUGUCCAUGAGGAUGUGGGUUCCAUCCCUGGCCCGGCUCAGUGGGUUAAGGAUCUGGCGUUGCCGUGAGCUGCAGUGUAGGUCACAGAUGUGGCUUGGAUCUGGCAUGGCUGUGGCUGUGGCACAGGCUGGCAGCUGCAGCUCUGAUUCGACCCCUAGCCUGGAAAAUAGACAUAUGCUGCGGGUGUUGCCCUAAAAAGAAUCUUCUUUCUCACCAUAGAAAUAGACACCUCCACAGAGAUGUGGAACACGGGGCGUUAGAUUUAACGAUGGAAGAUCCUCGGUAGGAAAUAGGAGGGGAGGGGUGUCAGGAAGACUCUUUGGAGGCGUUGGCCCCUGAAUAAAGAUUUUAGGCAUGAACAUGGAUGGAACUAGAGACUCUCAUACUAAGAGAAGUCAGUCAGAAAGAGAAAAAAAUACCACGAGAUAUCAUUUUUGUGGAAUCCAGUAUCUGGCACAAAUGACCCUUUCCACAGAAAAGAAACUCAUGGACUUGGAGAACAGACUUGGGGUUGCCGAGGGGGAGGGAGUGGGAUGGACUGGGAGUCCGGGGUUAAUAGAUGCAAACUACUGCAUUUGGAUGGAUAAGCAAUGAGAUGCUGCUGUAUAGCACUGGGAAUUUUAUCUAGUCACUUGUGAUGGGGCACGAUGGAGGAGAAUGUGAGAAAAAGAAUGUAUUUGUGUGUGUGACUGGGUCACUGCGCUGCACAGUAGAAAACUGAUGGCACCCUAAACCAACUAUAAUGGAAAAAAUAAAAAUCAUUAAAAAAAAAGAUUUUAGGCAUGAGUUGGAUUUACUUAGGUUGCAGGAGAGGAUAAGGUGAGGGAUGGGACAACUUGAAAACUGGCACAGGCAGGAGAGAGAACUCGAUGUGUCUGAGGACCUAAAAGGGGUUUGUUCUCGUUGGCUGAUGAAGCCUGAGCAGCGGGAGGCAGGCUGGCAGGCAGGGCAGGGAAAGGAGCACCUCUAGCGCCACUCCUGGGCAGUACCCUCCUGGGAGGGAGGAGCCAGGGAGGGCCACCUUCCGGGGGAGGUGGCUGCUUCUAGCGGCUGUGCUAUUGAGGGUGAAUUUGACAGGGAAGCAGGCGGUCAAGGAGGGAGCAAAUGCAAAGUUCUAGGGUGAGAUGGUGAAGAUCUGAGACAGGGCGGGAGCGAGUGGUGGCUCCGCGUUGACCACUGAGUUCUCAUCCCGUGGCUCAGUGGUUAAUGAACCCGACUAGUAUCCAUGAAGACGCGGGUUUGAUCUCUGGCCACGCUCAGUGGGUUAAGGAUCCGCAUUGCCAUGAGCUGUGGCGUAGGACGCAGACGUGGCUCAGAUCCCACGUGGCUGUGGCUGUGGCUGUGGUGUAGGCCAGCAGCUACAGCUCCGAUUAGACCCCUAGCCUGGGAACCUCCAUAUGCUGCAGGUGCGACCUUAAAGACAAGAAAAAAAAAGAAAAAAA
This 1511-nucleotide long non-coding RNA is filed under the name Sus scrofa (pig). RNAcentral describes it as "lncRNA (ENSSSCG00015079118.1)". Lineage: Eukaryota; Metazoa; Chordata; Mammalia; Artiodactyla; Suidae. The record is from RNAcentral.